UACGUAGGCAGCGAGCGUUGUUCGGAAUUACUGGGCGUAAAGAGUGUGUAGGCGGUGCUCCAAGUCUGGUGUGAAAUCUCCCGGCUUAACUGGGAGGGUGCGCCGGAAACUGGAGUGCUCGAGGGUGGGAGAGGUAAGCGGAAUUCCUGGUGUAGCGGUGAAAUGCGUAGAUAUCAGGAGGAACACCUGUGGUGUAGACAGCUUACUGGACCACUUCUGACGCUGAGACACGAAAGCGUGGGUAGCAAACAGG
Molecule: ribosomal RNA, 253 nt
Filed under: uncultured bacterium
Lineage: Bacteria
Description: partial 16S ribosomal RNA
Rfam family: Bacterial small subunit ribosomal RNA
Source: RNAcentral